RNAcentral lists this unclassified non-coding RNA (593 nucleotides) under Bombus terrestris (buff-tailed bumblebee). Its description in RNAcentral is "misc RNA ENSBTSG00005036388.1". Lineage: Eukaryota; Metazoa; Arthropoda; Insecta; Hymenoptera; Apidae. The record is from RNAcentral.
AUUUUCGUGUCACUUACAACGUUACCAACAGAAUACGAAAACGUUGUUACGUUUAUUGUGUUAAGAACAAUAAAUUCCAUGGCGGGUCACUUUAAAAUGAUAAAAAUCUGUGAAAUAACUGAAAAUCUAAGAAUAUUUGUCGGGACAGUAGCGAGAUACAGGCAAACAGGUACACGUGCAUUUACACAUGAAUGCCGUUUGGCUCUUGCUAAUACUUCUUUAACAAGUACUUUAUCAAGUGACUGUCGUUUACGAGUAGAGGACGCUAAAAUCAAUAUCGAAUUUCUACGUCGGUAUGGUAGUCACGUUGAGCCACAGAGGUCCAUAAGGUAAUUUGUCUAUACGUAUAGCUCGUCUGUGCUAUGUGUCGCACAACCGGUACUAAAUACCUGCAAUACCGAUGAUUUUAUCAUUAACGAAAUAAAAUGCUCUGCCUUAGUUUUCGAAUUAUACGUAGAAGUACGUUUGGUAUCAUGUACAGCCGGUGGAUAAAGACAAAUGGUGGAUAAUGAAAAUAUAUAUCAAUGAAGUUUACAAAAAUUCUGAAUAUUAAUUUCAAUUGUUUACUAAAUAACUUAUAUAGUAUAAGAGCA